CCUACGGGGGGCAGCAGUGAGGAAUAUUGGUCAAUGGGCGUAAGCCUGAACCAGCCAAGUCGCGUGAGGGAUGAAUGUUCUAUGGAUUGUAAACCUCUUUUAUAAGGGAAUAAAGUGUGGGACGUGUCCCGUUUUGUAUGUACCUUAUGAAUAAGGAUCGGCUAACUCCGUGCCAGCAGCCGCGGUAAUACGGAGGAUCCGAGCGUUAUCCGGAUUUAUUGGGUUUAAAGGGUGCGUAGGUGGCCUUUUAAGUCAGCGGUGAAAGUCUGUGGCUCAACCGUAAAAUUGCAGUUGAAACUGGCAGUCUUGAGUAUAGUAGAGGCAGGCGGAAUGCGUGGUGUAGCGGUGAAAUGCUUAGAUAUCACGCAGAACCCCGAUUGCGAAGGCAGCCUACCAAGCUGUGACUGACACUGAUGCACGAAAGCGUGGGGAUCAAACAGGAUUAGAUACCCUAGUAGUC
Molecule: ribosomal RNA, 460 nt
Filed under: uncultured bacterium
Lineage: Bacteria
Description: partial 16S ribosomal RNA
Rfam family: Bacterial small subunit ribosomal RNA
Source: RNAcentral